RNAcentral lists this ribosomal RNA (381 nucleotides) under uncultured organism. Its description in RNAcentral is "bacterial SSU rRNA". It matches the Rfam family "Bacterial small subunit ribosomal RNA", at positions 367 to 762 of the family's 1533-position model. The record is from RNAcentral.
CGCAAUGGGCGAAAGCCUGACGGAGCGACGCCGCGUGAUUGAUGAAGUCCUUCGGGACGUAAAGGUUUUUUAUGGGGGAGGAAGUUAUUGACGUUACCCCAUGAAUAAGAGGCUCCUAACUUUGUGCCAGCAGGAGCGGUAAUACAGAGGCCUCAAGCGUUAUCCGGAAUUAUUGGGCGUAAAGGGUAUGUAGGCGGCUUUGUUAGUCUUCCGUUAAAGCCUGUCGCUUAACGACAGAUUUGCGGGAGAAACGGCAAAGCUAGAGGAUGUAAGAGGUGUGCGGAACUCAUAGUGUAGGGGUGAAAUCCGUUGAUAUUAUGGGGAACACCGAAUGCGAAGGCAGCACACUGGUACAUUCCUGACGCUGAAAUACGAAAGCGU